AGUGAACGCUGGCGGUAGGCCUAACACAUGCAAGUCGAACGACAGCACAGUAAGAGCUUGCUCUUACGGGUGACGAGUGGCGGACGGGUGAGGUAUACAUCGGAAUCUACUUUUUCGUGGGGGAUAACGUAGGGAAACGUACGCUAAUACCGCAUACGACCUACGGGUGAGAGCAGGGGAUCUUCGGACCUUGCGCGAUUGAAUGAGCCGAUGUCGGAUUAGCUAGUUGGCGGGGUAAAGGCCCACCAAGGCGACGCUCCGUAGCUGGUCUGAGAGGAUGAUCAGCCACACUGGAACUGAGACACGGUCCAGACUCCUACGGGAGGCAGCAGUGGGGAAUAUUGGACAAUGGGCGCAAGCCUGAUCCAGCCAUACCGCGUGGGUGAAGAAGGCCUUCGGGUUGUACAGCCCUUUUGUUGGGAAAGAAAAGCAGCAGGUUAAUACCCCGCUGUUCUGACGGUACCCAAAGAAUAAGCACCGGCUAACUUCGUG
Molecule: ribosomal RNA, 492 nt
Filed under: uncultured bacterium
Lineage: Bacteria
Description: partial 16S ribosomal RNA
Rfam family: Bacterial small subunit ribosomal RNA
Source: RNAcentral